UACGUAGGGCGCAAGCGUUGUCCGGAAUUAUUGGGCGUAAAGAGCUCGUAGGCGGCCAGUUGCGUCUGCUGUGAAAUCCCGGGGCUCAACCCCGGGCGUGCAGUGGAUACGGGCUGGCUAGAGGCAGGCAGGGGAGAACGGAAUUCCCGGUGUAGCGGUGAAAUGCGCAGAUAUCGGGAGGAACACCGGUGGCGAAGGCGGUUCUCUGGGCCAUCACUGACGCUGAGGAGCGAAAGCGUGGGGAGCGAACAGG
Molecule: ribosomal RNA, 253 nt
Filed under: uncultured bacterium
Lineage: Bacteria
Description: partial 16S ribosomal RNA
Rfam family: Bacterial small subunit ribosomal RNA
Source: RNAcentral